RNAcentral lists this transfer RNA (77 nucleotides) under Nilaparvata lugens yeast-like symbiont. Its description in RNAcentral is "tRNA-Sup (TTA) (tRNA-Sup-TTA-1-1)". It matches the Rfam family "tRNA". From Rfam's summary of the family: Transfer RNA (tRNA) molecules are approximately 80 nucleotides in length. Their secondary structure includes four short double-helical elements and three loops (D, anti-codon, and T loops). Lineage: Eukaryota; Fungi; Ascomycota. The record is from RNAcentral.
GGUCUGGUGGUAUAAUUGGAAUAAUUCUCGCUUUUAGUGCGAGAGAGAGGUCCCGGGUUCAAUCCCCGGCCAGACCC